RNAcentral lists this ribosomal RNA (497 nucleotides) under uncultured bacterium. RNAcentral's name for it is "partial 16S ribosomal RNA". It matches the Rfam family "Bacterial small subunit ribosomal RNA", at positions 28 to 507 of the family's 1533-position model. The record is from RNAcentral.
GAUGAACGCUGGCGGCGUGCCUAAUACAUGCAAGUCGAGCGAACGGACGAGAAGCUUGCUUCUCUGAUGUUAGCGGCGGACGGGUGAGUAACACGUGGAUAACCUACCUAUAAGACUGGGAUAACUUCGGGAAACCGGAGCUAAUACCGGAUGAUAUUUUGAACCGCAUGGUUCAAAAGUGAAAGACGGUCUUGCUGUCACUUAUAGAUGGAUCCGCGCUGCAUUAGCUAGUUGGUAAGGUAACGGCUUACCAAGGCAACGAUGCAUAGCCGACCUGAGAGGGGGAUCGGCCACACUGGAGCUGAGACGCGGUCCAGGCUCCUACGGGAGGCAGCAGUAGGGAAUCUUCGGCAGUGGGCGAAAGCCUGACGGAGCAACGCCGCGUGAGUGAUGAAGGUCUUCGGAUCGUAAAACUCUGUUAUUAGGGAAGAACAUAUGUGUAAGUAACUGUGCACAUCUUGACGGUACCUAAUCAGAAAGCCACGGCUAACUACGUG